RNAcentral lists this ribosomal RNA (203 nucleotides) under uncultured Gammaproteobacteria bacterium. Its description in RNAcentral is "partial 16S ribosomal RNA". It matches the Rfam family "Bacterial small subunit ribosomal RNA", at positions 327 to 522 of the family's 1533-position model. Lineage: Bacteria; Pseudomonadati; Pseudomonadota; Gammaproteobacteria. The record is from RNAcentral.
CGGUCCAGACUCCUACGGGAGGCAGCAGUGGGGAAUAUUGGACAAUGGGCGCAAGCCUGAUCCAGCCAUACCGCGUGUGUGAAGAAGGCCCUAGGGUUGUAAAGCACUUUAAGUUGGGAAGAAAAGUUAUUGGUUAAUACCCAAUAGCCGUGACAUUACCAUCAGAAUAAGGACCGGCUAAUUCCGUGCCAGCAGCCGCGGUA